Molecule: ribosomal RNA, 500 nt
Filed under: uncultured bacterium
Lineage: Bacteria
Description: partial 16S ribosomal RNA
Rfam family: Bacterial small subunit ribosomal RNA
Source: RNAcentral
AUUGAACGCUGGCGGAAUGCUUUACACAUGCAAGUCGAACGGCAGCACGGACUUCGGUCUGGUGGCGAGUGGCGGACGGGUGAGUAAUGUAUCGGAACGUGCCCAGUCGUGGGGGAUAACGUAGUGAAAAUUACGCUAAUACCGCAUACGAUCUAUGGAUGAAAGCGGGGGAUCGCAAGACCUCGCGCGAUUGGAGCGGCCGAUAUCAGAUUAGGUAGUUGGUGGGGUAAAGGCCCACCAAGCCAACGAUCUGUAGCUGGUCUGAGAGGACGAGCAGCGCAACUGGAACUGAUACACGGUACAGACUCCUACGGGAGGCAGCAGUGGGGAAUUUUGGACAAUGGGCGAAAGCCUGAUCCAGCCAUUCCGCGUGCAGGAUGAAGGCCCUCGGGUUGUAAACUGCUUUUGUACAGAACGAAAAGGUUUCUACUAAUACUAGGAGCUCAUGACGGUACUGUAAGAAUAAGCACCGGCUAACUACGUGCCAGCAGCCGCAGUAA